This 460-nucleotide ribosomal RNA is filed under the name uncultured bacterium. Its description in RNAcentral is "partial 16S ribosomal RNA". It matches the Rfam family "Bacterial small subunit ribosomal RNA", at positions 338 to 795 of the family's 1533-position model. The record is from RNAcentral.
CCUACGGGUGGCUGCAGUGAGGAAUAUUGGUCAAUGGACGCAAGUCUGAACCAGCCAUGCCGCGUGCAGGAUGACGGCUCUAUGAGUUGUAAACUGCUUUUGUACGAGGGUAAACCCCGAUACGUGUAGCGCGUUGAAAGUAUCCUACGAAUAAGGAUCGGCUAACUCCGUGCCAGCAGCCGCGGUAAUACGGAGGAUUCGAGCGUUAUCCGGAUUUAUUGGGUUUAAAGGGUGCGUAGGCGGUUUGAGAAGUUAGAGGUGAAAUGUCGGGGCUCAAACCCGGUACUGCCUUUAAUACUGUAGGACUAGAGAGUGUUUGUGGUAGGCGGAAUGUAUGGUGUAGCGGUGAAAUGCUUAGAGAUCACGCAGAACACCGAUUGCGAAGGCAGCUUACCAACCUAUAUCUGACGUUGAUGCACGAAAGCGUGGGUAGCGAACAGGAUUAGAUACCCGAGUAGUC